CGGUGUUUAACUGGCGUGAUGUGGGACGUCCUACCGGUGGGCUUAGCCUCGCGAGGGGCGGCCCAACUAAUAUCCCGUCGCGGUGCUCUUUACUGAGUGUCGAGUCGGGCCGGUACGUUUACUUUGAACAAAUUAGAGUGCUUAAAGCAGGCUAUCCUCGCCUGAAUACUGCGUGCAUGGAAUAAUGGAAUAGGACCUCGGUUCUAUUUUGUUGGUUUUCGGAACCCCGAGGUAAUGAUUAAUAGGGACAGAUGGGGGCAUUCGUAUUGCGACGUUAGAGCUGAAAUUCUUGGAUCGUCGCAAGACGGACAGAAGCGAAAGCAUUUGCCAAAAAUGUUUUCAUUAAUCAAGAACGAAAGUUAGAGGUUCGAAGGCGAUCAGAUACCGCCCUAGUUCUAACCAUAAACGAUGCCAGCUAGCGAUCCGCCGAAGUUCCUCCGAUGACUCGGCGGGCAGCUUCCGGGAAACCAAAGCUUUUGGGUUCCGGGGGAAGUAUGGUUGCAAAGCUGAAACUUAAAGGAAUUGACGGAAGGGCACCACCAGGAGUGGAGCCUGCGGCUUAAUUUGACUCAACACGGGAAACCUCACCAGGCCCAGACACCGGAAGGAUUGACAGAUUGAUAGCUCUUUCUUGAUUCGGUGGGUGGUGGUGCAUGGCCGUUCUUAGUUGGUGGAGCGAUUUGUCUGGUUAAUUCCGAUAACGAACGAGACUCUAGCCUGCUAAAUAGGCGUACCUUAUGGUAUCGCGAAGGCCCCCGGCUUCGGCCGGUGGGUUUUUACUACCAACGUACAAACAAAUCUUCUUAGAGGGACAGGCGG
RNAcentral lists this ribosomal RNA (819 nucleotides) under uncultured eukaryote. Its description in RNAcentral is "SSU rRNA". It matches the Rfam family "Eukaryotic small subunit ribosomal RNA", at positions 629 to 1426 of the family's 1831-position model. The record is from RNAcentral.